Molecule: transfer RNA, 73 nt
Filed under: Myxococcales bacterium
Lineage: Bacteria; Pseudomonadati; Myxococcota; Myxococcia; Myxococcales
Description: tRNA-Lys
Source: RNAcentral
GGGGUAGGUUAGCGGGUAGAGCAAGAGAAUCUUAAUCACUAGGUCCGGGGUUCGAGCCCCCGCGCGCUCACCA